Molecule: long non-coding RNA, 451 nt
Filed under: Mytilus galloprovincialis (Mediterranean mussel)
Lineage: Eukaryota; Metazoa; Mollusca; Bivalvia; Mytilida; Mytilidae
Source: RNAcentral
UUGACACUUAGCGACAUAAAUAAGAUUUGACAGCUUAAACUCUUAGAAGUAUUUCCUUUAGCAAAUAUAUCUAAUUCUUUACUAUUGUUCACUUAGAAUUCUAUCUAACCAAAUAAUCGGAUUUCCCUAAUGGCCGUAAAAACAAGGUAUUAAGUAAUUAAAAAUAGUAACCCCAAAUUAUGUAAAAAUGUAAAUUAGAUAAAAAGAGAUCUAACCAAUAGAAACUGUUCUUAUAAAAAAUAUGUAUUCUAAAAGUCAUUUUGAUUGGUGAAUAAAACAAGUCCAACCAGCACGUGUUCUAGGGGUUUAAAAUAGGAAACCCUAAGGAAUCAAACAUUAAUUUACUGGUAUGGUUGGACUCGAAAUAAACAUAUAUAGACAUCUUUGUUUUAUUCACCAGGUUCGUUAACUUAUAAAUUUUGUUUAGUGAAAAAUUAAACGUAACCGUAGC